Molecule: ribosomal RNA, 478 nt
Filed under: uncultured bacterium
Lineage: Bacteria
Description: bacterial SSU rRNA
Rfam family: Bacterial small subunit ribosomal RNA
Source: RNAcentral
ACGAACGUUGGCGGCGUGGAUUAGGCAUGCAAGUCGAGCGAGGACAGCUAAGUAGCAAUACAAGGCUGAGCCGAGCGGCGAAAGGGGCAGUAAGGCGUGGCUAACCUACCCUGGGGACUGGGAUAGCCUUCCUAACGGAAGGGUAAUACCGGGCGACGUGACGCGGGGGCCUCCUCGUGUCACCAAAUGAGUUUCGCCCUGGGAGGGGGUCACGUGGUAUUAGCUAGUUGGUGAGGUAAUGGCUCACCAAGGCUUAGAUGCCUAGCAGGUGUGAGAGCACGACCUGCGCCACUGGCACUGAGACACUGGCCAGACACCUACGGGUGGCUGCAGUCGAGGAUCUUCGGCAAUGGGCGCAAGCCUGACCGAGCGACGCCGCGUGUGCGAUGAAGGCCUUCGGGUUGUAAAGCACUGUCGAGGGGGAGGAAAGCCCGCAAGGGUCUGACCUAUCCCUGGAGGAAGGACGGGCUAAGUUCGU